CAAGAAGUAGUUUAGAUAGAAUAUCAGCUUUGGGUGUUGAUGGUAGGGGUUAAUCCUUCCUUCUUGA
RNAcentral lists this transfer RNA (67 nucleotides) under Peromyscus perfulvus (marsh mouse). Its description in RNAcentral is "tRNA-Pro". It matches the Rfam family "tRNA". From Rfam's summary of the family: Transfer RNA (tRNA) molecules are approximately 80 nucleotides in length. Lineage: Eukaryota; Metazoa; Chordata; Mammalia; Rodentia; Cricetidae. The record is from RNAcentral.